AACGAACGCUGGCGGCGUGGAUAAGACAUGCAAGUCGAGCGCUCAUUUCAGGGUAGCAAUAUUCUGAAGUGGGAGCGGCGCAAGGGUGCGUAACACGUGGGUAAUUUGCCAAGAAGUUUGGAUAACUCGCUGAAAGGCGAGCUAAUACCGGAUGUGAUAAUCGGAAGGCAUCUUUUGAUUAUUAAAGUUGGGGACCGUAAGGCCUGACGUUUCUUGAUAAGCCCGCGGCCUAUCAGCUAGUUGGUGAGGUAACGGCUCACCAAGGCUAAGACGGGUAGCUGGUCUGAGAGGACGACCAGCCACACUGGAACUGAGACACGGUCCAGACACCUACGGGUGGCAG
Molecule: ribosomal RNA, 343 nt
Filed under: uncultured Verrucomicrobiota bacterium
Lineage: Bacteria; Pseudomonadati; Verrucomicrobiota
Description: bacterial SSU rRNA
Rfam family: Bacterial small subunit ribosomal RNA
Source: RNAcentral